GUGCCAGCAGCCGCGGUAAUACGUAGGUGGCAAGCGUUAUCCGGAAUUAUUGGGCGUAAAGCGCGCGUAGGCGGUUUUUUAAGUCUGAUGUGAAAGCCCACGGCUCAACCGUGGAGGGUCAUUGGAAACUGGAAAACUUGAGUGCAGAAGAGGAAAGUGGAAUUCCAUGUGUAGCGGUGGAAUGCGCAGAGAUAUGGAGGAACACCAGUGGCGAAGGCGACUUUCUGGUCUGUAACUGACGCUGAUGUGCGAAAGCGUGGGGAUCAAACAGGAUUAGAUA
RNAcentral lists this ribosomal RNA (280 nucleotides) under uncultured Staphylococcus sp. Its description in RNAcentral is "partial 16S ribosomal RNA". It matches the Rfam family "Bacterial small subunit ribosomal RNA", at positions 505 to 784 of the family's 1533-position model. The record is from RNAcentral. Lineage: Bacteria; Bacillati; Bacillota; Bacilli; Caryophanales; Staphylococcaceae.